CUUCCGGAAGGGGAACCUGCGGAAGGAUCAUUA
RNAcentral lists this ribosomal RNA (33 nucleotides) under Rhizosphaera pini. RNAcentral's name for it is "partial 18S small subunit ribosomal RNA". The record is from RNAcentral. Lineage: Eukaryota; Fungi; Ascomycota; Dothideomycetes; Dothideales; Dothideaceae.